This 460-nucleotide ribosomal RNA is filed under the name uncultured bacterium. Its description in RNAcentral is "partial 16S ribosomal RNA". It matches the Rfam family "Bacterial small subunit ribosomal RNA", at positions 338 to 795 of the family's 1533-position model. The record is from RNAcentral.
CCUACGGGAGGCAGCAGUGAGGAAUAUUGGUCAAUGGACGAGAGUCUGAACCAGCCAAGUAGCGUGAAGGAUGACUGCCCUAUGGGUUGUAAACUUCUUUUAUAUGGGAAUAAAAUGUUCCACGUGUGGGCUUUUGUAUGUACCAUAUGAAUAAGGAUCGGCUAACUCCGUGCCAGCAGCCGCGGUAAUACGGUGGAUCCGAGCGUUAUCCGGAUUUAUUGGGUUUAAAGGGAGCGUAGGUGGAUUGUUAAGUCAGUUGUGAAAGUUUGCGGCUCAACCGUAAAAUUGCAGUUGAAACUGGCAGUCUUGAGUACAGUAGAGGUGGGCGGAAUUCGUGGUGUAGCGGUGAAAUGCUUAGAUAUCACGAAGAACUCCGAUUGCGAAGGCAGCUCACUGGACUGCAACUGACACUGAGGCUCGAAAGUGUGGGUAUCAAACAGGAUUAGAUACCCGAGUAGUC